GAUAUGUGCUCACCCUUCUCUGCUCAGCUCUGUGCCUGGGAGGCUGACCUCUACAGACUGCAUCACCAGGCUUCCGCCCUCUGGCUUCCAGAUGGAUUUGGCCAAUGGGCAGCACCAGUGGGAAAGGAGAGGACAGGAGGAGAGACAGUCUGAGGUCAUGUAUUUAUCCCCCUCUUCCCUACCCCAUGACAGUUCUGACAGGCAGCCCCUCCGUUUCUCCAGCUCUCAGCUGAGCUCCAGUAACAAGCUUCCUUCUCUUUCCCCUUUAGGGUUGGGGUGGCAAGAGCCACCACCUGGGUGUCUCACUAUAUCUUGUUGGCUUCCCUAAUCCUGCCUACAUUAAUCAUUUUCUUAAAUUUCAAACUCUCUUGAUGCUUCCAUUUGUUUCCCGAGGAAUCCUGGCUAAUGGAGCAAGCUUGGACACAUUCCUUCAUUUCACACGUCCUCAGUUUAUUUAGCUGUAAAAUGAAGGGCCUGAGCAGCCUUUCCCAAAGUGGAUUCUGCACAUCAGUCUCACCAUAUUCCAUUUUGUAUUCUGUGGUCAAAUAUGUUUGGGAAACACUGAAUAUAAUGUCCCCUUUUGGAGAGCCACAAUUUGUGGCACCGUAUCAACAAUUCUGAGAGGUCCUGAAGUAGAUACACCUGUUUUACCCUGUUUAGUUCAGCAUUUCCCAAAUAUAGUUAACAAUGGAACCACUGUUUUUUGCUUGUUUGCUUUUGCAGAAAACCCUAAUAACAUAGAGAAAACACCAGAUCAAGUUGGGCCAUGUAUGGCAUUGUCUUAUUCUGUGGAAAGAUUGGAGUGCAAUGGCACGAUCUCAGCUCGCCGUAGCCUUGACCUCCCAGGCUCAAGAGAUCCUCUCACCUCAGCCUCCUGAGUAGCUGGGACUACAGGCACAUACCGAAUGCCCAGAAAAUUUUUUUCUUGUGAGGGCUGGGAGGACAGCGUCAAAAUAGAACUGAUGCUGAGGACAGCAGAGGAGAGGACAAGACAAACCUGAGUGGAUGGCAUCAUGGGGCCUCUGAUUGUUCCUGCAUCCAUUCCAUGUGGUUUAAGCCAGUUGAGUCAGCAUUUUCUGUCUUGAAUCCCAAAUCUUUAUAAAUGAUAGGUGUACCUUUUAAUGGAACUAUUCUUGGCCUCAAAUUCUUCCCAGAUAUACCCUGUGAGUGUUCAGGAAGCAGCAGAAUAUUAAACACUACAUUUCUUCAUUCACAGGCCUCCCUCCUCCUGUGUCCCUGACAUACAGUGACAGUGCUGCUCUGCAGGAUGGCAUAUCAGAGAGCUCAGGAUGGAUGCAGUCAAGGACGACAGCCCAUGUCCAAAAAAGCUGCCUGCUGAACAUUUGCCCAGCAGAUUUUAUAAAGAAAGGAAACAUCUUAGUGAUUUUCUUGCCUCCAGAAGAUUCCCUGAUCCAAUCUUUCCUUGGCACAAACUUUUAGUUAUUGUGUUUACAUAUACAUUUUAUAUAUGCGUGGUCAUUAUUGUAUCUG
RNAcentral lists this long non-coding RNA (1491 nucleotides) under Pan troglodytes (chimpanzee). Its description in RNAcentral is "long non-coding RNA NONPTRT015212". Lineage: Eukaryota; Metazoa; Chordata; Mammalia; Primates; Hominidae. The record is from RNAcentral.